CCCUUAGAUGUCCUGGGCCGCACGCGCGUUACACUGAUGCAUUCAACGAGCUUAUAACCUUGGCCGAGAGGCCUGGGCAAUCUUGUUAACGUGCAUCGUGAUAGGGAUAGAUUAUUGAAAUUAUUAAUCUUGAACGAGGAAUUCCUAGUAAACGCAGAUCAUCAAUCUGCAUUGAUUACGUCCCUGCCCUUUGUACACACCGCCCGUCGCUCCUACCGAUUGAAUGGUCCGGUGAAGCGUUUGGACUAUGGUUUUCUGAUGGUCCGCCGUUGGAUUACCGUGGGAAGUUCGUUAAACCUUAUCAUUUAGAGGAAGGAGAAGUCGUAACA
RNAcentral lists this ribosomal RNA (329 nucleotides) under uncultured eukaryote. RNAcentral describes it as "partial 18S ribosomal RNA". It matches the Rfam family "Eukaryotic small subunit ribosomal RNA", at positions 1470 to 1796 of the family's 1831-position model. The record is from RNAcentral.